This 301-nucleotide ribosomal RNA is filed under the name uncultured Methanocalculus sp. RNAcentral describes it as "bacterial SSU rRNA". It matches the Rfam family "Bacterial small subunit ribosomal RNA", at positions 493 to 795 of the family's 1533-position model. The record is from RNAcentral. Lineage: Archaea; Methanobacteriati; Methanobacteriota; Methanomicrobia; Methanomicrobiales; Methanocalculaceae.
CCGUUACACGGGGCCGCGGCCGCGGUAACACGGAGGGUGUAAGCGUUGUCCGGAUGUAUUGUGCGCAAUGAGCCCGGAGUCGGUUUGUCGCGUCGGAUGUGAAAACCCAAUGGCUUCACCUUGGGCCUGCAUUCGAUACGGGCAGACUAGAGUGUGGUAGGGGAGACUGGAACUCCUGGUGUAGCGGUGGAAUGCGCAGAUAUCAGGAAGAACACCGAUGGCGAAGGCAGGUCUCUGGGCCACAACUGACGCUGAGGAGCGAAAGCGUGGGGAGCAAACAGGAUUAGAUACCCGGGUAGUC